UGUCGAAUGAUGUCAUCCAAUCCAAUAAAACAAGGAAAAUCUGAGGGUUAACUAGUGAUGUCACAGUUAAUUUAGGGCAUUGUCGUUCAUAAUUCAAUGAAGUAGUAACCGGAAAUCGAGUUAUUUGCAUACAUGUCAUGUGUGGAGAAAAAGCCUCUAGCUAUCUCAUCCAUCAUCUUAUUUCUCACAUUCGUUUUAGAAUCUAUCUAGUUUUUCAUACUUGUUUGUUUGUUACAACUUCAUCCAAAUCAAAACCCCCUUUUAGUUUCUUGUUUCAAAGUGUUUCAAAUCUGUUUUAGUUUGUGUUUUUAAGUGUUUUGAUUCAAGUAAAAGUCAAUUUUCGUCCAAAGUCAUUCCUAGUGUCUAGUUUAAGUCUUCUGAGUCUUGUUAAGUGUUUUUAAGUUUAGUUUUAUGUUUUUGAGUCAGUUUGGAGGUUAUUAGCA
Molecule: long non-coding RNA, 443 nt
Filed under: Malus domestica (apple)
Lineage: Eukaryota; Viridiplantae; Streptophyta; Magnoliopsida; Rosales; Rosaceae
Description: long non-coding RNA (MDOM_LNC002616)
Source: RNAcentral